Molecule: ribosomal RNA, 348 nt
Filed under: Triticum aestivum (bread wheat)
Lineage: Eukaryota; Viridiplantae; Streptophyta; Magnoliopsida; Poales; Poaceae
Description: partial small subunit ribosomal RNA
Source: RNAcentral
AUGAAGACCCAAUAUAUGGAUGUGGACACCUCAAGUACGUCUCGUGGAAGAGGCAAGAAUAAAAGGAAGUGGACUUCGGAUGAGGAUGAUGAACUUAUUAAAGCCUUGUAUGAGUUGUCUUUGGACCCAAGGUGGAAGGCAGAUGGUAGCUUCAAAAAUGGAUACCUGGUGGUAUUGGAGAAGCACCUUGCUAAAAAGUGCCCGGGUUGUGGUAUCUCUGCAAUUCCACACAUCGAGUCAAGAGUGAGGCACUUUAGGACAAAAUUUGGUGCUCUUGAAGUAAUGUUAUCCAAAAGUGGUUUCACAUGGGAUGGAAACCAGAAGAUGAUUCAAUGUGAGAAGGCAUAG